UUUGCUGGAACUCAGCCACCUCCUUCAUUUACACAUUCUUUAUGGCUGCUUUCAUGUGAGCGUGGCAGAAUUGGGCAGUUGCCGCAGAGACCAUAUGACCUGCAAAAUGUAAAAUAUUUACUGUCUGGCACUUUAUGGAAAAAGUUUGGUGACUCCUGUCCAACAGCACACAGUUUAAAUUUUAUAACAGGCAUCCAAAGGCCUAAAGAUGUACCCUGAGCUAACUCUGGCAUCCCUGCCAUUCUCUCCCGGCAUCCCUGCACCCACCCAGAGGCUGAUCAGUCACAGGGGCUACUCUGAAUGUGGUAGGAGGCGGGAGUCACUCUGGGAAGUGUUUGACCGAAACUGACAGGAGUGGGGUGAAGGAAAGUUGGCUUUAGACAUUAAAACAGGAAGAAUAAAGACCAGAAAAGGGUGUGAAAGUAACUCCACUGGAAGGCCUGGGGCUGCUGCACCAGUUGGUAGUGAUGUUAUUAUCCCAGAGUCCAAUCAGACUUAGUACAUGGCCAUUUACAGAAACGCUUCAGGUAAAAAAGGGAAGAAGG
This 545-nucleotide small RNA is filed under the name Pongo abelii (Sumatran orangutan). RNAcentral's name for it is "processed transcript". Lineage: Eukaryota; Metazoa; Chordata; Mammalia; Primates; Hominidae. The record is from RNAcentral.